Molecule: long non-coding RNA, 150 nt
Organism: Cyprinodon variegatus (sheepshead minnow)
Lineage: Eukaryota; Metazoa; Chordata; Actinopteri; Cyprinodontiformes; Cyprinodontidae
Exons: 2
Source: RefSeq, a predicted model, not a curated record
AGGAGCCAAAUCUGGGGAAGACCUGCCCUCCAGUAAACUAAACCCCUCGAGGAAGCAGGGCUAAGCCUGACUUCUAAGACCGCCCUCUCAGUCCGAGAAUCUGCCCUCACCCAUCGGCAACAGUGGAAACCAUAGUAUUUGCACUUUGUA